This 103-nucleotide ribosomal RNA is filed under the name Pogona vitticeps (central bearded dragon). The record is from RNAcentral. Lineage: Eukaryota; Metazoa; Chordata; Lepidosauria; Squamata; Agamidae.
UACUAGACAUCUCUGCUGCACAUACUUGAUCUCAUCUGAUUUUGGAAGUCAAGCAGGGUUGGACAUGAUUAGUUCUUAGAUGGCAAGGAAAGGGUGUGAGUAC